AGAGUUUGAUCCUGGCUCAGGAUGAACGCUAGCUACAGGCUUAACACAUGCAAGUUGAGGGGCAGCGGUAUCGAAAGCUUGCUUUCGGUAGCCGGCGACCGGCGCACGGGUGAGUAACGCGUAUCGAACCUGCCUCAUACUCGGGAAUAGCCUUGCGAAAGUAAGAUUAAUGCCCGGUGUUUUCAGAGUCCCGCAUGAGGCUUUGAACAAAGAUUUAUCGGUAUGAGAUGGCGAUGCGUCCCAUUAGCUUGUUGGCGGGGUAACGGCCCACCAAGGCAUCGAUGGGUAGGGGUUCUGAGAGGAAGGUCCCCCACAUUGGAACUGAGACACGGUCCAAACUCCUACGGGAGGCAGCAGUGAGGAAUAUUGGUCAAUGGGCGGAAGCCUGAACCAGCCAGGUAGCGUGCAGGAAGACGGCCCUCCGGGUUGUAAACUGCUUUUAGUUGGGAAUAAAACGGGGCUCGUGAGCCCCCUUGCAUGUACCAUCAGAAACAGGACCGGCUAAUUCCGUGCCAGCAGCCGCGGUAAUACGGAAGGUCCGGGCGUUAUCCGGAUUUAUUGGGUUUAAAGGGAGCGCAGGCGGACCUUUAAGUCAGCUGUGAAAUACGGCGGCUCAACCGUCGAACUGCAGUUGAUACUGGAGGUCUUGAGUGCACACAGGGAUGCUGGAAUUCAUGGUGUAGCGGUGAAAUGCUCAGAUAUCAUGAAGAACUCCGAUCGCGAAGGCAGGCAUCCGGGGUGCAACUGACGCUGAGGCUCGAAAGUGCGGGUAUCAAACAGGAUUAGAUACCCUGGUAGUCCGCACAGUAAACGAUGAAUACUCGCGGUUUGCGAUACAAUGUAAGCCGCCAAGCGAAAGCGUUAAGUAUUCCACCUGGGGAGUACGCCGGCAACGGUGAAACUCAAAUGAAUUGACGG
Molecule: ribosomal RNA, 918 nt
Filed under: uncultured bacterium
Lineage: Bacteria
Description: bacterial SSU rRNA
Rfam family: Bacterial small subunit ribosomal RNA
Source: RNAcentral